GCUCAUCACAUCCUGGAGGUGAAGUAGCUUCCAAGGGUUGGGCUGUUCGCCCAUUAAAGUGGUACGUGAGCUGGGUUCAAACCGUCGUGAGACAGGUUGGUCCCUAUCUACCGCAGGCGUAGAGUCUUGAGAGGGGUCGUCCUCAGUACGAGAGGACCAGGAUGAACUGACCUCUGGUCUACCAGCUGUUCUGCCAAGAGCAUCGCUGGGUAGCUAAGUCGGGAACUGAUAAGCGCUGAAAGCAUCUAAGCGCGAAGCAGGCCUCAAGAUUAGGACUCAUAGAUUCCUCAGAGAUUAUGAGGUUGAUAGGCUGCAGGUGUAAGGCGGGUAACCGCUUAAGCCGAGCAGUACUAAUAAAUCAUCAGCCUUCUUG
This 373-nucleotide ribosomal RNA is filed under the name Candidatus Nealsonbacteria bacterium CG_4_8_14_3_um_filter_37_36. Its description in RNAcentral is "bacterial LSU rRNA". It matches the Rfam family "Bacterial large subunit ribosomal RNA", at positions 2535 to 2925 of the family's 2925-position model. The record is from RNAcentral. Lineage: Bacteria; Candidatus Nealsoniibacteriota.